Molecule: ribosomal RNA, 505 nt
Filed under: bacterium RD6-18
Lineage: Bacteria
Description: bacterial SSU rRNA
Rfam family: Bacterial small subunit ribosomal RNA
Source: RNAcentral
UUUACGCUGGCNGCAGGCCUAACACAUGCAAGUCGAGCGGUAACAGAUCUAGCUUGCUAGAUGCUGACGAGCGGCGGACGGGUGAGUAACGCGUAGGAAUCUACCGAGUAGUGGGGGAUAGCCCAGAGAAAUUUGGAUUAAUACCGCAUACGCCCUACGGGGGAAAGGAGGGGAUCUUCGGACCUUUCGCUAUUUGAUGAGCCUGCGUAAGAUUAGCUAGUUGGUAGGGUAAAGGCCUACCAAGGCGACGAUCUUUAGCUGUUCUGAGAGGAUGAUCAGCCACACUGGGACUGAGACACGGCCCAGACUCCUACGGGAGGCAGCAGUGGGGAAUAUUGGACAAUGGGGGCAACCCUGAUCCAGCCAUGCCGCGUGUGUGAAGAAGGCCUUCGGGUUGUAAAGCACUUUCAGAUGUGAGGAAAGGUUAGUAGCUAAUAACUGCUANCUGUGACGUUAACAUCAGAAGAAGGACCGGCUAACUCCGUGCCAGCAGCCGCGGGUAAUA